This is a non-coding RNA of Biomphalaria pfeifferi, 327 nucleotides long. The record is from the annotation of a GenBank genome assembly. Lineage: Eukaryota; Metazoa; Mollusca; Gastropoda; Planorbidae.
AUAACUUCCUGGAACCUGCAGCAAAAACAUGGAUCCAGGAACCUUGGCAGCUGAUCUGAAAAAAGAACCUCAAUCGAUUUUCCUAGAAAUUUAACAAUUGACGUUAAUCGCUAACAGAAUAAUUACUAGAUCGUUGUCCACACAGGAAAAACUGAAAGUUUGACAGUUAUAUUAUAUUAUUUAUAUGUUAUUAAAGUUUAUUAGCGUUGCUUAUUUUUUCGUAAAUCUAAUGUAAAUCACAUCUAGAAAUAGAUCUAAACUUAAUCUGGGAUUUUAAAUUUCGGAAUUUUUGGGUGCCACUAAGUCCGCCCAGCUCUAAUAGGUACC